RNAcentral lists this ribosomal RNA (260 nucleotides) under uncultured prokaryote. Its description in RNAcentral is "partial 16S ribosomal RNA". It matches the Rfam family "Bacterial small subunit ribosomal RNA", at positions 355 to 608 of the family's 1533-position model. The record is from RNAcentral.
UCGAGAAUUUUUCACAAUGGGCGCAAGCCUGAUGGAGCGACGCCGCGUGGGGGAUGAAUGGCUUCGGCCCGUAAACCCCUGUCAUUUGCGAUCAAACCUCAUUAUUUAAAAGAUGAUGAGCUGAUAGUAGCGAAAGAGGAAGGGACGGCUAACUCUGUGCCAGCAGCCGCGGUAAUACAGAGGUCCCGGGCGUUGUGCGGAUUCACUGGGCGUAAAGGGUGCGUAGGUGGUGAGGUAAGUCGGAUGUGAAAGCUCGGGGC